CAAAGGCUUGGUCCUGACUUUACUAUCAACUCUAGCUAAACUUACACAUGCAAGUAUCCGCACCCCCGUGAGAAUGCCCUACAGUUCCCCGCCCGGGAACAAGGAGCUGGUAUCAGGCACAUUCCUACUUAGCCCAUGACACCUUGCUUAGCCACACCCUCAAGGGAACUCAGCAGUGAUAAACAUUAAGCCAUAAGUGAAAACUUGACUUAGUCAAAGCUAAAAGGGCCGGUAAAACUCGUGCCAGCCACCGCGGUUAUACGAGAGGCCCAAGCUGAUAGAUAUCGGCGUAAAGCGUGGUUAAGAUUUUAAUAUAAACUAAAGCCGAACACCUUCAAAGCUGUUAUACGCACCCGAAGAUAAGAAGUUCAACCACGAAAGUGGCUUUAUAACCCCUGAACCCACGAAAGCUACGACACAAACUGGGAUUAGAUACCCCACUAUGCCUAGCCGUAAACAUUGGUAGCACACUACCCCUACUACCCGCCUGGGAACUACGAGCAUCAGCUUGAAACCCAAAGGACUUGGCGGUGCUUUAGAUCCACCUAGAGGAGCCUGUUCUAGAACCGAUAACCCCCGUUCAACCUCACCUUUCCUUGUCUUUCCCGCCUAUAUACCGCCGUCGUCAGCUUACCCUGUGAAGGAUUUAUAGUAAGCAAAAUUGGUACAACCUAAAACGUCAGGUCGAGGUGUAGCGUAUGGGAAGGGAAGAAAUGGGCUACAUUUCCUAAAACAGGAAAUUACGGACGAUGUACUGAAACGUAUAUCUGAAGGAGGAUUUAGCAGUAAGCAGGAAAUAGAGCGUCCAGCUGAAAUUGGCCCUGAAGCGCGCACACACCGCCCGUCACUCUCCCCAAGCCUAUCAACUAAUAUAACUAAAACCUUAUAAUCGCGAAGGGGAGGCAAGUCGUAACAUGGUAAGUGUACCGGAAGGUGCACUUGGAAAAAU
RNAcentral lists this non-coding RNA (949 nucleotides) under Gymnocephalus cernua (ruffe). Its description in RNAcentral is "12S ribosomal RNA". It matches the Rfam family "Bacterial small subunit ribosomal RNA". Lineage: Eukaryota; Metazoa; Chordata; Actinopteri; Perciformes; Percidae. The record is from RNAcentral.